RNAcentral lists this ribosomal RNA (253 nucleotides) under uncultured bacterium. RNAcentral describes it as "partial 16S ribosomal RNA". It matches the Rfam family "Bacterial small subunit ribosomal RNA", at positions 524 to 776 of the family's 1533-position model. The record is from RNAcentral.
UACGUAGGGGGCAAGCGUUGUCCGGAAUCAUUGGGCGUAAAGCGCGUGUAGGCGGCUCGAUAAGUCUGCUGUGAAAGUUCAGGGCUCAACCCUGAAAUGCCGGUGGAAACUGUCGAGCUAGAGUCCGGAAGAGGCGAGUGGAAUUCCUGGUGUAGCGGUGAAAUGCGCAGAUAUCAGGAGGAACACCAAUGGCGAAGGCAGCUCGCUGGGACGGUACUGACGCUGAGACGCGAAAGCCAGGGGAGCGAACGGG